Molecule: ribosomal RNA, 468 nt
Filed under: uncultured bacterium
Lineage: Bacteria
Description: partial 16S ribosomal RNA
Rfam family: Bacterial small subunit ribosomal RNA
Source: RNAcentral
GACGAACGCUGGCGGCGUGCUUAACACAUGCAAGUCGAACGGAAAGGCCCUGCUUUUGUGGGGUGCUCGAGUGGCGAACGGGUGAGUAACACGUGAGUAACCUGCCCUUGACUUUGGGAUAACUUCAGGAAACUGGGGCUAAUACCGGAUAGGAGCUCCUGCUGCAUGGUGGGGGUUGGAAAGUUUCGGCGGUUGGGGAUGGACUCGCGGCUUAUCAGCUUGUUGGUGGGGUAGUGGCUUACCAAGGCUUUGACGGGUAGGCCGCCUGAGAGGGUGACCGGCCACAUUGGGACUGCGAUACGGCCCAGACUCCUACGGGAGGCAGUAGUGGGGAAUAUUGCACAAUGGGCGGAAGCCUGAUGCAGCAGCGCCGCGUGCGGGAUGACGGCCUGCGGGUUGUAAACCGCUUUCGCCUGUGACGAAGCGUGAGUGACGGUAAUGGGUAAAGAAGCACCGGCUAACUACGUG